GCAGUCGAGCGGUACAGGGGAGCUUGCUCCUGCUGACGAGCGGCGGACGGGUGAGUAACGCGUAGGAAUCUGCCUAGUAGAGGGGGACAACAUGUGGAAACGCAUGCUAAUACCGCAUACGCCCUAAGGGGGAAAGGAGGGGACUCUUCGGAGCCUUCCGCUAUUAGAUGAGCCUGCGUAAGAUUAGCUAGUUGGUAGGGUAAAGGCCUACCAAGGCGACGAUCUUUAACUGGUCUGAGAGGAUGGCCAGUCACACUGGGACUGAGACACGGCCCAGACUCCUACGGGAGGCAGCAGUGGGGAAUAUUGGACAAUGGGCGGAAGCCUGAUCCAGCCAUGCCGCGUGUGUGAAGAAGGCCUUAGGGUUGUAAAGCACUUUCGGGGGUGAGGAAGGGUAACUGGCUAAUAUCCAUGUUACUUUGACGUUAGCCCC
RNAcentral lists this ribosomal RNA (433 nucleotides) under Marinomonas sp. Oce340. RNAcentral's name for it is "bacterial SSU rRNA". It matches the Rfam family "Bacterial small subunit ribosomal RNA", at positions 57 to 482 of the family's 1533-position model. The record is from RNAcentral. Lineage: Bacteria; Pseudomonadati; Pseudomonadota; Gammaproteobacteria; Oceanospirillales; Oceanospirillaceae.